This 465-nucleotide ribosomal RNA is filed under the name uncultured bacterium. RNAcentral's name for it is "partial 16S ribosomal RNA". It matches the Rfam family "Bacterial small subunit ribosomal RNA", at positions 28 to 507 of the family's 1533-position model. The record is from RNAcentral.
GACGAACGCUGGCGGCGUGCUUAACACAUGCGAGUCGAACGGUAAGGCCCCUUCGGGGGUACACGAGUGGCGCACGGGUGAGUAACACGUGAGCAACCUGCCCUUGACUCUGGAAUAACAGUUGGAAACAGCUGCUAAUACUGGAUAUUCAUCGUCUCCUUCCUGGGGGGUGGUGGAAAGCUCCGGCGGUCAGGGAUGGGCUCGCGGCCUAUCAGCUUGUUGGUGAGGUAAUGGCUCACCAAGGCUUCGACGGGUAGCCGGCCUGAGAGGGCGACCGGCCACACUGGGACUGAGAUACGGCCCAGACUCCUACGGGAGGCAGCGGUGGGGAAUAUUGCACAAUGGUCGCAAGCCUGAUGCAGCAACGCCGCGUGCGGGAUGACGGCCUUCGGGUUGUAAACCGCUUUCAGUAGGGACGAAGGGUGACUGACGGUACCUACAGAAGAAGGACCGGCUAACUACGUG